This 422-nucleotide unclassified non-coding RNA is filed under the name soil metagenome. RNAcentral describes it as "partial contains 5.8S ribosomal RNA, internal transcribed spacer 2, and large subunit ribosomal RNA". The stretch from base 1 to 120 matches the Rfam family "5.8S ribosomal RNA", at positions 35 to 154 of the family's 154-position model. The record is from RNAcentral.
GAUGAAGAACGUAGCGAAAUGCGAUAAGUAAUGUGAAUUGCAGAAUUCAGUGAAUCAUCGAAUCUUUGAACGCACCUUGCGCUCCCUGGUAUUCCGGGGAGCACGCCUGUUCGAGUGUCGCGAAAUUCUUCAAGCCUUGGACGGAUUUUUUUUGUCUGUCCUUGGGCUUGGUUGUUGGGCUCUGCCGUGUCCUUCAUUGGGACGGCUGGCCUUAAAAGCAUUAGCCGAUCCUCGUGUGGUACUGGUUCUACUCAGCGUGAUAACAAUCUGAUCGUUGAGGACAUCUUCUGGAUGGCCAGUCAUCAUUUGGGUUGCUUCUAAACCGGUUUCGCAGAUUGCUCAAUCUGUGUGCCACUUUUCAGCUUUGACCUCGAAUCAGGUGGGACUACCCGCUGAACUUAAGCAUAUCAAUAAGCGGAGGA